This 883-nucleotide long non-coding RNA is filed under the name Zonotrichia albicollis (white-throated sparrow). RNAcentral's name for it is "lncRNA (ENSZALG00000008014.1)". The record is from RNAcentral. Lineage: Eukaryota; Metazoa; Chordata; Aves; Passeriformes; Passerellidae.
CCCAAAUUUCACCCCAAAUUCCAAAUCCUUCACCCCAAAAUUCAUCCCAAAAUCCAAAUCAUUCACCCCAAAUUCCAGAUCCGUCACCCCAAACUCAAAAUCCUGCAUCCCAAAGCCCAAAUCCUUCACCCCAAAAUUCACCCCAAAAUUCAUCCUGAAUUCCAAAUCCUUCAUCCCAAAAUUCCCAAAUCCUUCAUCCCAAAUCCUUCAUCCCAAAAAUCCCCAAAUCCUUCAAGUUCCCAAAUCUUUGAUCCCAAAUUCCCAAGCCCUUCCUCCAAAAUCCCAAAAUCCUUGAUCGAAAAAUCCCAAAUCCCAAAUCCCCCAAAUGCUUCAUCCCAAAUUCCCAAAUCCCCCAUCCCAAAUCCUUCACUCCAAAUUCCCAAAUCUUUGAUCCAAAAUUUCCCAAACCCUUCAUCCCAAUCCCCAAAUCCUUCACUCCAAAUUCCCAAAUCCCUCAUCCCAAAUCCCCAAAUCCUUGGUCCAAAAUCCCCAAAUCUUUUAUCCCAAAUUCCCUAUCCCAAAAAUCCCCAAACCCUUCCUCCAAAAUCCCAAAAUCCUUGAUCCAAAAAUCCCAAACCCUUCAUCCCAAAUCCCCCAAAUCCUUCAUCCCAAAUUCCCAAAUCCCAAAUCCUUCAAUCCAAAUUUGCAAAUCUUUGAUCCAAAAUUCCUAAAUCCUUCAUCCCAAAUCCCCAAAUCUUUUAUCCCAGAUUCCCCAUCCCAAAUCCCCAAAUCCUUGGUCCAAAAUCCCCAAAUCCUUGAUCCAAAGAUCCCAAAUCCUUCAUCCCAAAUCCCCCAAAUCUUUUAUACCAAAUUCCCAAAUCCUUCAUCUCAAAUCUCCCAUCCUAAAUUCCCAAACCCUUCAUUCCAAUGCCCCCAAAUCUCC